UGCAGUCGAGCGCACUGGCCCAACUGAUAUGACGUGCUUGCACUGAUUUGACGAUGGAUCACCAGUGAGCGGCGGACGGGUGAGUAACACGUGGGCAACCUGCCCCAAAGCGGGGGAUAACAUUUGGAAACAGGUGCUAAUACCGCAUGAUUCGUAAAAUCACAUGAUUUUACGAUAAAAGAUGGUUUCGGCUAUCACUUUGGGAUGGGCCCGCGGUGCAUUAGCUAGUUGGUAAGGUAACGGCUUACCAAGGCGAUGAUGCAUAGCCGAGUUGAGAGACUGAUCGGCCACAAUGGAACUGAGACACGGUCCAUACUCCUACGGGAGGCAGCAGUAGGGAAUCUUCCACAAUGGGCGCAAGCCUGAUGGAGCAACACCGCGUGAGUGAAGAAGGGUUUCGGCUCGUAAAGCUCUGUUGUUGAAGAAGAACGUGCGUGAGAGUAACUGUUCACGCAGUGACGGUAUUCAACCAGAAAGUCACGGCUAACUACGUGCCAGCAGCCGCGGUAAUACGUAGGUGGCAAGCGUUAUCCGGAUUUAUUGGGCGUAAAGCGAGCGCAGGCGGUUACUUAAGUCUGAUGUGAAAGCCUUCGGCUUAACCGAAGAAGUGCAUCGGAAACUGGGUGACUUGAGUGCAGAAGAGGACAGUGGAACUCCAUGUGUAGCGGUGGAAUGCGUAGAUAUAUGGAAGAACACCAGUGGCGAAG
This 707-nucleotide ribosomal RNA is filed under the name uncultured bacterium. Its description in RNAcentral is "bacterial SSU rRNA". It matches the Rfam family "Bacterial small subunit ribosomal RNA", at positions 56 to 720 of the family's 1533-position model. The record is from RNAcentral.